CAGAUCAUACCCGAGUUCCUGCUGCUGAAAUGUGUAGCACUGAAGCCCCAACGCCCGUGCAGGCACCUGUGUGCUCCAUUGUGAACGAAGGCCCAGCAGCUCCAGCUGCUUGCUCCAUUGUGAACGAAGCCCCAGCUCCCUGGGCCUGACCUGUGCCAAAUGGCAAGCUGCUUGUCACCUGAACAAAGGGAGAAAAGGAAGAGGGAUGGAGAUGAUGAUGCCAUGGAUGUCUCAGAAAAUGGAAAUGGCGAGAGUUCUUCAUGCAGCAAGAAACCAAUAAGAACUGAACUUAGUUUUCUACCAUAUAGCUUCGUCAUUUCCCCAUAUGAAAUGGUCCCAUAAUCUAAGAGGCGCUGGAAGAGCACUCCCCAUGCUUGUCUUGAAAAGAACACCACCCGGGACUUGGUGACUGACAUUGAGAAGGCAACAUGGUGGAUCGAGGGAAGCCGACCUUCACCCCCAAGAAGGGCAAGCCCAGCGUCGUCAUGUUCGUCGGAUUGCAGGGCCAGUCUCACUCACCAACCAACCUCGCCUUCUUGCUCUGUUUAUUGUGCUACACCUCUUACUGAAUUCCAGUCGCUAUAUAUGAUUUCUUACCUGUAUAUAUGUACCACUCUGUGUGUAGCAUUUUUCUAACGGUACAAUAGCACUCACUCAUCUACUGUCAAAUUGCCUGUGUGUAGUUCAUUAUCAUGCUAUCCAGGGGAUAUUCAUUUAUGUGCCUGUGAAUUCGUUCUUGGUGUGUAUGUAUGUAUAUGUGCUAGCAACAUGAGUAGGAAUUAGCAUCAUGCUCGGCCUGGAUGAAUUGCAUGCAUACAUUGAUCUAGUGAGAAGUGUAUGGCUGAUACAAUGCUCUUUUUCACAAAGCUAUUAUACACUUUGGGAAAUACAGUAAUUUGUUCUUUACUAAAUGCACUGCAAGUAUGGAUGAUGAUGCAUGCAUGCAUCUAGGGUGAGUCGUACCUAGUUGUUCUUUAUGUGGUUUGCUACUGCUAACCUUGCCUCGCUUUUGCUACUGCUAGCUCUAUGGAUGUUUAUUUACCUGCAACUUCUGCUAGCUCUAACUUGGUUAUAUAGCAGUUCAAUUCAUUCAAUCUGUUGGAACUAGUUUGUCUAUCACUUGUAUCCAAAUUUUAUAUCCUACCCUAUGCCAUUGUCGACUUGCUUAGGUACAUAAUUGUUAUGUCUUGCAAUCUGGUAUUGAUGAUUGUCAAUGUAUUCAUUUAUACCUUUCUAGUGUACCUUGCAUGUGACCCAGCUAGUCUGUAUAUCAAUGCUUUGUUUCCAAUAGAUGUAUGCUGAUGCCUGAUGGCUGAUUCCUUAAAACUUUACUGUUGCAGUAGCAUUUUUCCUUAGUGCUUCAAACCUUGCUCUCUUUCCCAGGAACCAUCAUCGUCUGCGUCACUACUGGGGCAGGAGAGGAAAGACUGUUGUUGUCUCCAGGAAGCGAUAAACUGCUUCACAAAGAUCCCCGCAUAGCUUCACUACUACUGUGUUGGUCCAUUUCCAGAAUCUAUAGGAUGAUGCUUUUGCUUAAGGAGAGGCUCAAGAAGAUCAGGGAGCUUCGCAUCCGUGUUUCAGCCAUCCUCUACAGCAAGGAGCUCUGGUCCAAAGGAGCAACCAGCGCUGCUAGUUCCUUGAGGCCAGAUCGAGUAAGAUGGCGCACCAUGGCGUGUGGUGGCAUAUUUUGCUUCCGAGAACAGUACUGUUUAUUUGAAGUGAGAUGUACUAGUCUAUGUUGUCGUGAGCUGUAGUAGGAGUGAAAUGAAAAUGUAUCUGUUGUUGUAUGUACAUUUUACUUGAACAUUAAAUUCUCUAGAAAAAAUGUUCUUACUGGACC
Triticum aestivum (bread wheat) is the source of this 1840-nucleotide long non-coding RNA. RefSeq lists it as uncharacterized. The record is from RefSeq and is a predicted model, not a curated record. Lineage: Eukaryota; Viridiplantae; Streptophyta; Magnoliopsida; Poales; Poaceae. The transcript has 5 exons.